RNAcentral lists this small RNA (6534 nucleotides) under Arabidopsis thaliana (thale cress). RNAcentral's name for it is "ATSL042380". The record is from RNAcentral. Lineage: Eukaryota; Viridiplantae; Streptophyta; Magnoliopsida; Brassicales; Brassicaceae.
AAUGAAAUAUUCCCAUAAAUAUCUAAUUAAACCGCAAGUCAAAAAUACUAUUUUAUGAAUAAAUAAAUAAUUCGUCCAACAAAACCAAGAAUAACUAACAAUCCUAACCGGGUUCCAAUAACCAAAAACACCAAAAAUAAAACAAACGAGUUCCUAGAUCAUCCUCUCUUCCUUGCCAUGAUUCCACGAUCACACUUUAUCUUUACCUGCAUCAACAACACAAUGAGAUGCGUAAGUAUUAUCAUAAAUACUUAGUGAGGCGAUCCUCCCAUCUACGAGCUAUACACACAAGCAAAUAAAAAGGUAUAAUCACGAAUACAAUACAAACAAACCAGUCAUUGAACAAUUCACCCAAAACACAUCCACCACACCUACAUAUCAUCACACAAAACAAAUCACACAACCCAAUCGCUCAGAUAAGCUCAUGGUCACGCACUCACCUUAACAAAUUGAUUCUAAUAGCAAUUAAACCCAGGAGAGUCUCUCCUUGCGUCUGAAACAAUCCAGAAACGUCCUACAACAAGUUCACAACCAAAAGCAACCUUGAAGCAAACUGGACAGGAAAAACCAGAAACAAGCAGUCUCAAAGACGAAACCCUAAAAUACAAACAGACGAGACCACGAUCUCAGUUUCAAUCUCCGCUGGUCCUAAUUCGCGUCUGAGAAAACGUGUCUCACGAAACUGCAAAUAACUCAACCAAUUUUAAUCCAAAUCCAAUUCUGUAAACUGAAGAAUAACGAUAAAGGACUUGGGAAUAACUCUACCAAAUUUCGUUACCUUUUACCACGAUUUGAUAUGACGAAACUGAUUUCUCCCAAACCCUAACGAUUCUGCUCCUUCUCCUUUUCUCUCUUUUUCUCCUUUAUAAAACGAAAAGUGGCUAACCAAAGCCCUAAUUUCGAGUUUCCUUCUUUUAUAGGCAUACUCUAGGGUUUCCAAUUAACCCAACCAAUUAAACCGGAUGAUUUAAAAACAAACCCUAACCGAUUUUCCGGUUCACGGGCGUUACAAUUCUCCCCCACUAACAUAGAUUCGUCCUCGAAUCUAGCUUCACCCUUCCACUCCGAGGAACUCCGUGCAACCAUCACUACAGUCCGCACUCCCUCCAACCAGACCCCCUCUAGGUCUCUCUAUCCAGUCGAUAUACUCACGAUUUACUAGUCAUUGUUGCUCACAACUCACUCUCCACUCUCGGACCGCAAUCUUCGAGCAUAAACCGUCACUCUCAGGCCUCGGCCUACGGUAUCUCGGGUAUCACACAUAUUAUCUUCCCCACUCAAAGUCAAACCCUGAGUUGUGUUGGCUCACUCUCAGCCACAAAGUCAUCGAGUUACGACACUUGGAGAAAAUAAUACCACAAAACUCGCUCUCGGGUCGUCACCCUAAAGCGUGCUCUCGGAUCGUCACCCGAAGCCACCGUACCCCUCGUACUCUAAAGACACCAUGUCCCUCGAGUUACCGGUACCUCAGGAGCAUACCCCGCUCCUCACGAGUCGUUGGGACCCUCAUGUCCCUCGAGCAACAAUACUAAACGCUUCCGAGCAUAUCUCCAGACUCUCUCAUGGAUUCGCGUAAGACACCUCUAUGCCUCACCAUCCAUCAUAUCCCCUCGAAAACAUCCUUAUGACCAACUCCCGGCCAUCUCGUAAACACACCUUUCUCUUAGGUUGUUUACUCAAACUUUCCGAAAAUAGACAAGUCCUUUCUAGGAAACUUUCCAUUUUUGGAAACCGCACAACACAAUCUUAAAUAAGACAACUCAAGUCAAAUCCAAGAAAAAAUACUCAUCUUAUUAAUCAUCAACUGUCAUGAUCGUUACAACUCCAAACGAAAAUACAAAUGAAAGAGAAAUAAGAACAACAACUCAAAAGCUCAAAAACUCAACAACACUGAAACUGGAAACCAAGGAAAGGCAAACUCAUGCAGCAACCUGCUUCUCGAACCACUUCUUGAACCUUGCCUUCAUCCUCGCCUCUGGCUCCCAAGUCUCCUCUGUCACACCAUCGCAGUCCCACAGGACUUUGAUCAAAGGAAUCUUCUUCCGCCGAAGUUCCUUGAUCCUCCUCUCGAGAACCCUCACUGGUCUCGCCUCCAAAGUCAUGUUGGGCUGAAGAUCCUCUGGAAUCUUAGCCAACACCUCAUCAUCCUUGUGAAGACACUUCCUCAGCAUCGACACAUGAAAGACCUUGUGAAACGCACGCAUAACAUCAGGCAACUCUAACCUGUAUGCCACUGGUCCCACCCUCUCAACAAUCCUGAACGGACCCAUGUACCUCGGACUCAACUUAGUCUCUGAGAUAGACCUGUUCGGACCUCGCAACAUGGCCAUCUUAAGAUACACUCUGUCCCCAACCUCAAACUCAAGCUCUCUCCUCCUCUUGUCAGCAUAACUCCGCUGUCGAUCCUGAGCUUCCUUCAUGUUCAGCUUAAGAACCCGGAUCCUCUCUAUGGUCUCCUGAACAUAAUCUGCACCAUAUAUGCUCCUCUCCCCCACUUGGGUCCAGCAUAACGGUGUCCUGCAUGGCCUCCCGUACAACGCCUCAAAAGGAGCCAUCCCAAUACUCGCCUGAUAGCUAUUGUUAUAAGCAAACUCUACAAGACUCAAGUGAUCCGCCCAAUGACCUCCCCAAUCCUAGACACACAUCCGCAACAUAUCCUCAAGCGUCUGAAUAGUCCUCUCAGAUUGCCCAUCUCUCUGUGGAUGAUAAGCCGUGCUCAUCUGCACCUUAGUACCCAUCUCUGCCUGAAAGGCUCUCCAAAAUCCAGAAGUAAACUUGGAAUCCCUGUCUGACACAAUACUCACAGGUACUCCAUGCAACUUCACGAUCUCGUUCACAUAUUUCUUAGCCAACACCGCCGCUCCAUCGGUUUUUCUGAUGGCCAGAAAAUGUGCUGACUUAGUCAAACGGUCCACGAUCACCCAAAUAGCAUCUUUGGUUCGCGACACAAGCAACCCAACCACAAAAUCCAUCGUGAUAAAAUCCCACUUCCACUCAGGAAUGGGUAAACUCUGCAACAUGCCACCUGGCACCUGAUGCUCAGCCUUAACUAACUGGCAAACAUUGCAGUCUGCAACCCAAUUAGCUACAUCCCUCUUCAUCCCUACCCACUGAUAGUACCGCUUGAGGUCUCGGUACAUCUUAGUCGCUCCUGGAUGAAUGGAAAACAUGCUCGCAUGAGCCUCACUCAAGAUCUCCCGUCGCAACUCCUCAUCCUUAGGCACACAAACUCGCUCAUGCACAAGGAUAGUCCCAUUAGCUGCAAACUGAUACUCAGAGCCCUCUACCUUAGAAGCCGCAAUCAACCCCUCAUCCUUCUCCUGAGCCAACCGAACUCUAGUCAGAAGAUCUGCUCGAUCCACGAGUUCCAAUCCCAAUGGCUCUCGUGCCACAGCACACAACCGCAAAGCACCAAUCUCACUCACCAAGGCCUCAACACUCUGCCCUGGAGCCGCGCCCACGCGCUUACGGCUCAACGCGUCUGCAACCACAUUAGCCUUACCAGGAUGGUAAGCUAUCUCCAGAUCAUAAUCAGCCACCAGCUCCAUCCAUCGCCUCUGCCUCAGGUUCAGCUCUGGCUGAGUGAAGAUAUACUUCAAACUCUUAUGAUCCGUGAACACCUGCACUUUCCCACCAUAAAGAUAAGACCUCCAAAUCUUCAAGGCAAAGAUUACUGCAGCCAUCUCCAAAUCGUGAGUAGGAUAGUUGCCCUCAUGCUUCCUCAACUGUCGUGAUGCAUAAGCAAUAACCUUCCCACGCUGCAUUAAAACACAACCCAAACCAACUCUCGAGGCAUCAGUAUACACCAUGUAAGGCUGUCCAUGCUCUGGCAAUGCUAACACUGGUGUACUCGUCAACAUCUCCUUCAGGCUCACGAAACCCUCCUUGCACUCCGGUGACCACACAAAAGGAACAUCCUUCCCUGUCAGCUUAGUCAUCGACUGUGCCAUACUCGCAAACCCCUUGACGAACCUCCUGUAAUACCCUGCCAACCCAAGAAAACUCCUGAUCUCAGUGGCAUUCGUCGGUCUAGGCCAAUCUCUGAUAGCCUCAAUCUUCUCUGAAUCCACUGAAACUCCCUCUGCAGAAACAAUGUGACCCAGAAAACCCAUUUCUCUCUGCCAGAAACUGCACUUACUCAACUUAGCGAACAACUUCUACUCCCGCAGCUUCUCCAUCACUCUCCUCAGAUGUACCUCAUGCUCCUCAGGACUCUUAGAAUACACCAGAAUGUCAUCAAUAAAGAUGAUCACAAACUCAUCCAAAAACUCCUGGAACACGCUGUUCAUCAACCUCAUGAACACUGCAGGUGCAUUAGUCAACCCGAAAGGCAUCACCACGAACUUAAAAUGUCCAUAUCUCGUCCUGAAAGCAGUCUUGCGAACAUCUGCCUCCGCUAUCGGGAUCUGGUGAUAACCCGACGUCAAAUCGAUUUUGGAGAAACAAGUAGCACCCCUCAACUGAUCCAACAACUCAUCGAUCCUUGGCAAAGGGUACUUGUUCUUCACAGUGACCUGGUUCAACCCUCGGUAGUCAAUACAUAAGCGGAAACUCCUGUCCUUCUUCUUCACAAAUAACACCGGCGCUCCCCAAGGUGAAGUACUAGGACGAAUGAAUCCCUUACCCAAUAAAUCCUCUAGCUGCUUCUUUAGCUCUGCCAUCUCUGCUGGAGCCAUCCUGUAGGGUGCCUUAGACAACGCCGCUGUCCCUGGUUCCAACUCAAUCAUGAAAGGAUCAGACCGUGAUGGUGGUAAUCCCUGCAACGAUUGAAACACAUCCUCGAACUCCUGAACAACCCGAAUGCCUCGCAGCCCUUCUCGAUCAUUUUCUCUGCCUGCACUGCUGAGAUGACGAGACUCCCUGAGAUACGUCUCACUCCCUGAUAAACCAACCUUCCCUCUGGCCGCUCAAAAGAAACUCUCCCACGGUGGCAGUCAAGAUGUACUCUGUAAUGAUCCAACCAAUCCAUUCCCAGAAUAACAUCAUACAACUCUACAGGGCUGAUAAUCAAAUCUGCUGGCAUUGACUCCCUUGCAAUCUGAAUAUCUACACCCUUCGCUCUCUCCAGAACCGCUAGAAACUGCCCUCCAGCAACCUUGACGUGGAGAUGUCCCCUCUCCCUGCAGUGGUAGCACUCCCUCGUCUCAGCUCGCUGCGUGCAACCCGCCACCUUGUGGUCAAGGCUCCCACAAGAAAAACAUCCUGCACGACCACCCUGGCCAGCUCUGGAAGGAUGAUCCCACUUCCUCUUCUGCCCCUGCGCAGGCUUGCUGCCCUUGCUAGGUGCCACCUGCUGCUGAGUCUUCUUCGGUUGUACCGCUGGACUCACUCCCACCUCCUGCCUCUGAAGGUCCUCCUCUACCUCCUGUCUCCACCAGUGCCGCCUUCGUGGCGUACCCUCAAAUCCGGUCGAAGUCCCCUCAAGAACCUCCUCAUCUGGGCCUGGUCAUCCUCCAUGCCCCGACCCGCAUACACCAAGAGUCGGUUAAACUCCCGGUCAUACUCCCGAACCGACCGCUCACCCUGUGUCAGCUCAAGAAAACGCGCCUCCAUACGGUCGAGCGCCUCCGGCAGAAAGUACUUGGCAUUAAACUCAGCCACGAAAUCUGCCCAAGACAUAUCCGCCUGCCUCCUCCUGGCAGUCACACUCCGCCACCACAAAUGUGCAUCCCCCUCUAGAAAAUGCACUGCUAGAUCUACCCGAUACUCCGCCGAGCAUCUGCUCGAACCGAAGUUCCGCUCAACCCGCGACCUCCAACUGUCGGCCUCCUCAGGACUAGUACCACCAGAAAAAUAACCGGUGCCAAUCCUCUGCAACUGCUCCAUCAUCCUCAAAUAAGAUGGAACCUCCUCAGCAACCACAGCCCGCUGCUGCACCUCCGCCACUCGUGGCGCAACUGGAGCCUCCACUGGUACCACACCUGGUAACCGCUCCAACAACUGCCUCAACAGGCCCGCCAAACCAACCUCUGGAAUCUGGGCUCCUCCGGCUGCAGCACCCAUCAAUCCUGGGCCCUCAGCACCAACGGCAUACACACCGGUACCGACACUAGCUCCACCAGCCCCCACUCCGGCUGCACCAGCUAUAUCGGCACCAAGACCGUUUCUAACCCCGGGCUCCACAAACUCAGGCUGCGAACCCACACUCUGCUCAACUGUGGCACUGUGGCCAUCACUCUCGCCGGUACCCUCGAGGACUCGUCCCCUACCGCGACCACGACCACGACCACGAACUCUAGCUCCUCUAACCAUCUGCGCUACUCAAGAACAAAUGGCUAAGAAACUAAAACAAACGAAUAUAUUACAAACAACUUACCGUGGAAUCUCAUUUAAGGCUCGGAGAAGAUGAUGCUAGGACUCCAACAACACACAAUUGACUAAACACUCCAUAAUCAAUCCUCAAUAUGCUAACACCCUAUCUCAUCCCACAUCAAUCAACAGGAAAAUAAUUCAUCAAUUAAUUUUUCUACACAUCCUAGAACCGUAAUCGCUCUGAUACCAAAUUGAAACAACCCGACCUAUUUUUUUUUUUUU